UACGUAGGUGGCAAGCGUUGUCCGGAAUUACUGGGUGUAAAGGGCGUGUAGGCGGGAAGGUAAGUCAGAUGUGAAAUUCCGGGGCUCAACCCCGGCACUGCAUCUGAAACUAUUUUUCUUGAGUGCUGGAGAGGAAAGCGGAAUUCCUAGUGUAGCGGUGAAAUGCGUAGAUAUUAGGAGGAACACCAGUGGCGAAGGCGGCUUUCUGGACAGUAACUGACGCUGAGGCGCGAAAGCGUGGGGAGCAAACAGG
This 253-nucleotide ribosomal RNA is filed under the name Acetivibrio sp. Its description in RNAcentral is "partial 16S ribosomal RNA". It matches the Rfam family "Bacterial small subunit ribosomal RNA", at positions 524 to 776 of the family's 1533-position model. The record is from RNAcentral. Lineage: Bacteria; Bacillati; Bacillota; Clostridia; Acetivibrionales; Acetivibrionaceae.